This 253-nucleotide ribosomal RNA is filed under the name uncultured bacterium. RNAcentral describes it as "partial 16S ribosomal RNA". It matches the Rfam family "Bacterial small subunit ribosomal RNA", at positions 524 to 776 of the family's 1533-position model. The record is from RNAcentral.
GACAGAGGCCUCGAGCGUUAGGCGGAAUCACUGGGCUUAAAGCGUGUGUAGGCGGAUCGUUAAGUGCCUUGUGAAAUCCCACGGCUUAACUGUGGAACGGCUGGGCAUACUGGCGGUCUUGAGCCAUCUAGGGGCGACUGGAACAAACGGUGGAGCGGUGAAAUGCGCAGAUAUCGGGAGGAACACCAAUGGCGAAGGCAGCUCGCUGGGACGUUACUGACGCUGAGACGCGAAAGCGUGGGGAGCAAACAGG